RNAcentral lists this ribosomal RNA (393 nucleotides) under uncultured bacterium. Its description in RNAcentral is "partial 16S ribosomal RNA". It matches the Rfam family "Bacterial small subunit ribosomal RNA", at positions 523 to 918 of the family's 1533-position model. The record is from RNAcentral.
AUACGGAGGAUCCGAGCGUUAUCCGGAUUUAUUGGGUUUAAAGGGAGCGUAGGCGGACGCUUAAGUCAGUUGUGAAAGUUUGCGGCUCAACCGUAAAAUUGCAGUUGAUACUGGGUGUCUUGAGUACAGUAGAGGCAGGCGGGAUUUGUGGUGUAUCGGGGAAAUGCUUAGAUAUCACGAAGAACUCCGAUUGCGAAGGCAGCCUGCUGGACUGUAACUGACGCUGAUGCUCGAAAGUGUGGGUAUCAAACAGGAUUAGAUACCCUGGUAGUCCACACAGUAAACGAUGAAUACUCGCUGUUUGCGAUAUACAGUAAGCGGCCAAGCGAAAGCGUUAAGUAUUCCACCUGGGGAGUACGCCGGCAACGGUGAAACUCAAAGGAAUUGACGGGG